AUCGCUUCUCGGCCUUUUGGCUAAGAUCAAGUGUAGUAAAAACUACAAGAUGCUUGAUUUUAAAAAAGCAUCUGAGAAUAUCACUU
This 86-nucleotide small nuclear RNA is filed under the name Suricata suricatta (meerkat). RNAcentral's name for it is "U2 spliceosomal RNA (ENSSSUG00005014498.1)". It matches the Rfam family "U2 spliceosomal RNA". From Rfam's summary of the family: U2 is a small nuclear RNA (snRNA) component of the spliceosome (involved in pre-mRNA splicing). Complementary binding between U2 snRNA (in an area lying towards the 5' end but 3' to hairpin I) and the branchpoint sequence (BPS) of the intron results the bulging out of an unpaired adenosine, on the BPS, which initiates a nucleophilic attack at the intronic 5' splice site, thus starting the first of two transesterification reactions that mediate splicing. Lineage: Eukaryota; Metazoa; Chordata; Mammalia; Carnivora; Herpestidae. The record is from Rfam by way of RNAcentral.